Molecule: regulatory RNA element, 88 nt
Organism: Papillibacter cinnamivorans DSM 12816
Lineage: Bacteria; Bacillati; Bacillota; Clostridia; Eubacteriales; Oscillospiraceae
Rfam family: pan motif
Source: Rfam
CGGGUGGCAUCCCUAGGGAGCUACACCGAUAGAUUUGAAAUUUCCCGGCGAAUUGCUUAUAUCCGAGAACUCGGAAUAAGACAAGAGG